Molecule: small nuclear RNA, 107 nt
Filed under: Salvator merianae (Argentine black and white tegu)
Lineage: Eukaryota; Metazoa; Chordata; Lepidosauria; Squamata; Teiidae
Source: RNAcentral
GUGCUCACUUUGACAGCACAUACACUAAAAUGGGAAUGAUAUAGAGAAGUUUAGCAAGGCCCCUGCACAAGAAUGACAUGCAAAUUUGUGAAGCGUUCCAUUUAAAA